Molecule: ribosomal RNA, 570 nt
Filed under: Streptomyces albus
Lineage: Bacteria; Bacillati; Actinomycetota; Actinomycetes; Kitasatosporales; Streptomycetaceae
Description: bacterial SSU rRNA
Rfam family: Bacterial small subunit ribosomal RNA
Source: RNAcentral
GUAGCCGGCCUGAGAGGGCGACCGGCCACACUGGGACUGAGACACGGCCCAGACUCCUACGGGAGGCAGCAGUGGGGAAUAUUGCACAAUGGGCGAAAGCCUGAUGCAGCGACGCCGCGUGAGGGAUGACGGCCUUCGGGUUGUAAACCUCUUUCAGCAGGGAAGAAGCGAAAGUGACGGUACCUGCAGAAGAAGCGCCGGCUAACUACGUGCCAGCAGCCGCGGUAAUACGUAGGGCGCAAGCGUUGUCCGGAAUUAUUGGGCGUAAAGAGCUCGUAGGCGGCUUGUCACGUCGGUUGUGAAAGCCCGGGGCUUAACCCCGGGUCUGCAGUCGAUACGGGCAGGCUAGAGUUCGGUAGGGGAGAUCGGAAUUCCUGGUGUAGCGGUGAAAUGCGCAGAUAUCAGGAGGAACACCGGUGGCGAAGGCGGAUCUCUGGGCCGAUACUGACGCUGAGGAGCGAAAGCGUGGGGAGCGAACAGGAUUAGAUACCCUGGUAGUCCACGCCGUAAACGGUGGGCACUAGGUGUGGGCAACAUUCCACGUUGUCCGUGCCGCAGCUAACGCAUUAA